GAUGAACGCUGGCGGCGUGCCUAAUACAUGCAAGUCGAGCGAACAGACGAGGAGCUUGCUCCUCUGACGUUAGCGGCGGACGGGUGAGUAACACGUGGAUAACCUACCUAUAAGACUGGGAUAACUUCGGGAAACCGGAGCCAAUACCGGAUAAUAUAUUGAACCGCAUGGUUCAAUAGUGAAAGACGGUUUUGCCGUCACUUAUAGAUGGAUCCGCGCCGCAUUAGCUAGUUGGUAAGGUAACGGCUUACCAAGGCAACGAUGCGUAGCCGACCUGAGAGGGUGAUCGGCCGCACUGGAACUGAGACACGGUCCAGACUCCUACGGGAGGCAGCAGUAGGGAAUCUUCCGCAAUGGGCGAAAGCCUGACGGAGCAACGCCGCGUGAGUGAUGAAGGUCUUCGGAUCGUAAAACUCUGUUAUUAGGGAAGAACAAAUGUGUAAGUAACUAUGCACGUCUUGACGGUACCUAAUCAGAAAGCCACGGCUAACUACGU
Molecule: ribosomal RNA, 496 nt
Filed under: uncultured bacterium
Lineage: Bacteria
Description: partial 16S ribosomal RNA
Rfam family: Bacterial small subunit ribosomal RNA
Source: RNAcentral